RNAcentral lists this ribosomal RNA (496 nucleotides) under uncultured bacterium. Its description in RNAcentral is "partial 16S ribosomal RNA". It matches the Rfam family "Bacterial small subunit ribosomal RNA", at positions 30 to 523 of the family's 1533-position model. The record is from RNAcentral.
AUUGAACGCUGGCGGAAUGCUUUACACAUGCAAGUCGAACGGUAGAGGGGGCAACCCCUUGAGAGUGGCGAACGGGUGAGUAAUGUAUCGGAACGUGCCCAGUCGUGGGGGAUAACGUAGUGAAAAUUACGCUAAUACCGCAUACGAUCUAUGGAUGAAAGCGGGGGAUCGCAAGACCUCGCGCGAUUGGAGCGGCCGAUAUCAGAUUAGGUAGUUGGUGGGGUAAAGGCUCACCAAGCCAACGAUCUGUAGCUGGUCUGAGAGGACGACCAGCCACACUGGAACUGAGACUCGGUCCAGGCUCCUACGGGAGGCAGCAUUGGGUAAUUUUGGACAAUGGACGCAAGUCUGAUCCAGCCAUUCCGCGUGCAGGACGAAGGCCUUCGGGUUGUAAACUGCUUUUGUACGGAACGAAAAAGCUCUUAUUAAUACUAGGAGUCCAUGACGGUACCGUAAGAAUAAGCACCGGCUAACUACGUGCCAGCCGCCGCCGUAA